This 368-nucleotide ribosomal RNA is filed under the name uncultured organism. Its description in RNAcentral is "bacterial LSU rRNA". It matches the Rfam family "Bacterial large subunit ribosomal RNA", at positions 2099 to 2465 of the family's 2925-position model. The record is from RNAcentral.
CUUGACUGUAGCUUGGAAUUGGGUUCGGGCUCUUCUUGCGCAGCCUAGGUGGGAGGCUAUGAAAGCAGACUUUUGGGUUUGCUGGAGCCAACAGUGAGAGACCACUCUGGGAGAGCUAGAAUUCUAAUGGCGUUCUUUGAAGCAAGACGCUUGACAGUUUCAGGUGGGCAGUUUGACUGGGGCGGUCACCUCCUAAAAGGUAACGGAGGUGUGCAAAGGUUCCCUCAGGCUGGACGGAAAUCAGCCGUAGAGUGUAAAGGCAGAAGGGAGCUUGACUGCAAGACCUACAAGUCGAGCAGGGGCGAAAGCCGGCCUUAGUGAUCCGACGGUUCCGUGUGGAAGGGCCGUCGCUAAACGGAUAAAAGUUA